This 253-nucleotide ribosomal RNA is filed under the name uncultured bacterium. RNAcentral describes it as "partial 16S ribosomal RNA". It matches the Rfam family "Bacterial small subunit ribosomal RNA", at positions 524 to 776 of the family's 1533-position model. The record is from RNAcentral.
UACGGAGGGUGCUAGCGUUGUUCGGAAUCACUGGGCGUAAAGCGCGUGUAGGCGGCCCACUAAGUCUGAUGUGAAAGCCCGGGGCUCACCCCCGGAAGUGCAUUGGAAACUGAUGGGCUAGAGUCCCGGAGAGGAGGGUGGAAUUCCUGGUGUAGCGGUGAAAUGCGUAGAUAUCAGGAGGAACACCGGUGGCGAAGGCGGCCCUCUGGACGGUGACUGACGCUGAGACGCGAAAGCGUGGGGAGCAAACAGG